ACGCUCGACACCUACGGGAGCAGCAGUGAGGAAUAUUGGUCAAUGGACGCAAGUCUGAACCAGCCAUGCCGCGUGCAGGAUGACGGCUCUAUGAGUUGUAAACUGCUUUUGUACGAGGGUAAACGCAGAUACGUGUAUCUGUCUGAAAGUAUCGUACGAAUAAGGAUCGGCUAACUCCGUGCAAGCAGCCGCAGUAAUCUGAGCGGGCUGGCAAGGC
RNAcentral lists this ribosomal RNA (217 nucleotides) under uncultured bacterium. RNAcentral describes it as "partial 16S ribosomal RNA". It matches the Rfam family "Bacterial small subunit ribosomal RNA", at positions 328 to 539 of the family's 1533-position model. The record is from RNAcentral.